RNAcentral lists this ribosomal RNA (439 nucleotides) under uncultured bacterium. Its description in RNAcentral is "partial 16S ribosomal RNA". It matches the Rfam family "Bacterial small subunit ribosomal RNA", at positions 339 to 795 of the family's 1533-position model. The record is from RNAcentral.
CUACGGGAUGCUGCAGUGGGGGAUAUUGCACAAUGGGCGAAAGCCUGAUGCAGCAACGCCGCGUGAAGGAAGACGGAUUUCGGUCUGUAAACUUCUAUCAGCAGGGAUGAAAAUGACAGUACCUGACUAAGAAGCCCCGGCUAACUACGUGCCAGCAGCCGCGGUAAUACGUAGGGGGCAAGCGUUAUCCGGAAUUACUGGGUGUAAAGGGUACGUAGGCGGCUGAUCAAGUCAGAUGUGAAAGCCCGGAGCUCAACUCCGGGACUGCAUUUGAAACUGGUCGGCUAGAGUGUAGGAGAGGAAAGUGGAAUUCCUAGUGUAGCGGUGAAAUGCGUAGAUAUUAGGAAGAACACCAGUGGCGAAGGCGGCUUUCUGGACUAUAACUGACGCUGAGGUACGAAAGCGUGGGGAGCAAACAGGAUUAGAUACCCCUGUAGUC